UGACCGCUGGCGGUAGGCCUAGCACAUGCACGUCGACCGGCAGCACAGUAAGAGCUUGCUCUUACGGGUGGCGAGUGGCGGACGGGUGAGGAAUACAUCGGAAUCUACUUUUUCGUGGGGGAUAACGUAGGGAAACUUACGCUAAUACCGCAUACGACCUACGGGUGAAAGCAGGGGAUCUUCGGACCUUGCGCGAUUGAAUGAGCCGAUGUCGGAUUAGCUAGUUGGCGGGGUAAAGGCCCACCAAGGCGACGAUCCGUAGCUGGUCUGAGAGGAUGAUCAGCCACACUGGAACUGAGACACGGUCCAGACUCCUACGGGAGGCAGCAGUGGGGAAUAUUGGACAAAGGGCGCAAGCCUGAUCCAGCCAUACCGCGUGGGUGAAGAAGGCCUUCGGGUUGUAAAGCCCUUUUGUUGGGAAAGAAAAGCAGCAGGUUAAUACCCCGCUGUUCUGACGGUACCCAAAGAAUAAGCACCGGCUAACUUCGUG
This 490-nucleotide ribosomal RNA is filed under the name uncultured bacterium. RNAcentral's name for it is "partial 16S ribosomal RNA". It matches the Rfam family "Bacterial small subunit ribosomal RNA", at positions 30 to 507 of the family's 1533-position model. The record is from RNAcentral.